ACGAACGCUGGCGGCGUGCUUAACACAUGCAAGUCGAACGAAGAGCGAUGGAAGCUUGCUUCUAUCAAUCUUAGUGGCGAACGGGUGAGUAACGCGUAAUCAACCUGCCCUUCAGAGGGGGACAACAGUUGGAAACGACUGCUAAUACCGCAUACGAUCUGACCUCGGCAUCGAGGAUAGAUGAAAGGUGGCCUCUACAUGUAAGCUAUCACUGAAGGAGGGGAUUGCGUCUGAUUAGCUAGUUGGAGGGGUAACGGCCCACCAAGGCGAUGAUCAGUAGCCGGUCUGAGAGGAUGAACGGCCACAUUGGGACUGAGACACGGCCCAGACUCCUACGGGAGGCAGCAGUGGGGAAUCUUCCGCAAUGGACGAAAGUCUGACGGAGCAACGCCGCGUGAGUGAUGACGGCCUUCGGGUUGUAAAGCUCUGUUAAUCGGGACGAAAGGCCUUUUUGCGAAUAGGGAGAAGGAUUGACGGUACCGGAAUAGAAAGCCACGGCUAACUACGUG
RNAcentral lists this ribosomal RNA (509 nucleotides) under uncultured bacterium. RNAcentral describes it as "partial 16S ribosomal RNA". It matches the Rfam family "Bacterial small subunit ribosomal RNA", at positions 29 to 507 of the family's 1533-position model. The record is from RNAcentral.